This 714-nucleotide long non-coding RNA is filed under the name Marmota marmota marmota (Alpine marmot). RNAcentral's name for it is "lncRNA (ENSMMMG00000003742.1)". The record is from RNAcentral. Lineage: Eukaryota; Metazoa; Chordata; Mammalia; Rodentia; Sciuridae.
CUGGCAGCCAGGGCUGCUGCCUCUAUGACAUGGAUGCCUCCCCCUGCUGCUGCUGCUCACCCAAGAGGCAGGUUGCCAUGGAGGAAUGAAAGACAUGGAGAAGAGGUGCCAGCUCUCUGGGGUCCCGUGUCUGCCAGCUGUUGCUAAAUACCUCUAAGAACUUCUGCUUCCAGAGCCGUCUGUCCCAGGAACCUCAGAACCUGGGACAAGAACUCACUGAAGGGUCGGUCCCCUGGGGGAGAUGAAUUGGACCAACUUUAGGUUCCAGGACUCCAGAACCAGCAACACCUCCCUAUACAAGCCCACCCUGUUGCUCAGCUCAGAGGAUGUCACCACCAUGGGGCCAGAGACUAAGUCCGUAGUUCUUGGCAGCACAGAAACCACCGCCCUUUCUGGGUGCAUUGGUGUUGUGGUCCUCGUCUUGCUCCUGGUGAUUCUGUUGUCCGUGACCUUGAGGAAAUGGAGGCACGAGAGACUAUUUAAGAAACAACUGAGGUAUCAGACCAAUUUCUUCCACAAAUCCUCGGACAUUUCCUAUCAAGCUGAAGUCAUAUAUUCCAACGUGAUCAACCUGGCCCCCCGGAAAGAGGAUGACUUCGCUGUCUACGCCAACGUGCCCUGUUUCGAUCGCCCCAGGAGAACGUCACCAGACCAAGUGCAAUAUGCCUCCAUCAUAUUCCACUGAUCUGGGGGCCCAUGAGCUGCUCAGGGUGG